RNAcentral lists this ribosomal RNA (301 nucleotides) under uncultured bacterium. RNAcentral's name for it is "partial 16S ribosomal RNA". It matches the Rfam family "Bacterial small subunit ribosomal RNA", at positions 509 to 807 of the family's 1533-position model. The record is from RNAcentral.
CAGUCGCCGCGGUAAUACGUAGGUGGCAAGCGUUGUCCGGAAUUAUUGGGCGUAAAGGGCUCGCAGGCGGUUUCUUAAGUCUGAUGUGAAAGCCCCCGGCUCAACCGGGGAGGGUCAUUGGAAACUGGGAAACUUGAGUGCAGAAGAGGAGAGUGGAAUUCCACGUGUAGCGGUGAAAUGCGUAGAGAUGUGGAGGAACACCAGUGGCGAAGGCGACUCUCUGGUCUGUAACUGACGCUGUGGAGCGAAAGCGUGGGGAGCGAACAGGAUUAGAUACCCGUGUAGUCCCUGUCUCUUAUAC